RNAcentral lists this ribosomal RNA (428 nucleotides) under uncultured bacterium. RNAcentral describes it as "bacterial SSU rRNA". It matches the Rfam family "Bacterial small subunit ribosomal RNA", at positions 958 to 1398 of the family's 1533-position model. The record is from RNAcentral.
AACGCGAAGAACCUUACCAGGGAUUGACAUGACGGUAGUAGUGAAGCGAAAGCGGAACGACCCUUCGGGGAGCCGUCACAGGUGAUGCAUGGCUGUCGUCAGCUCGUGCCGUGAGGUGUUUGGUUAAGUCCACUAACGAGCGCAACCCCUAGCGCCAGUUACAAGUGUCUGGCGCGACUGCCGGUAUUAAGCCGGAGGAAGGUGGGGAUGACGUCAAGUCAGCAUGUCCUUUAUACCCUGGGCGACACACACGCUACAAUGGCCAGCACAAUGGGUCGCCAAGCCGUGAGGCGGAGCCAAUCCUAAAAAGCUGGUCUCAGUUCGGAUUGCAGGCUGCAACCCGCCUGCAUGAAGUCGGAGUUGCUAGUAACCGCAGGACAGCUAUACUGCGGUGAAUACGUUCCCGGGCCUUGUACACACCGUAGUAC